Molecule: ribosomal RNA, 253 nt
Filed under: uncultured bacterium
Lineage: Bacteria
Description: partial 16S ribosomal RNA
Rfam family: Bacterial small subunit ribosomal RNA
Source: RNAcentral
UACAGAGGGGGCAAGCGUUAUUCGGAAUUAUUGGGCGUAAAGGGCGCGUAGGCGGCUUUGCAAGUGACGGGUGAAAGCCCUCGGCUUAACCGAGGAACUGCCUGUCAGACUGUAAGGCUUGAGACCGGGAGAGGUGAGUGGAAUUCCCAGUGUAGCGGUGAAAUGCGUAGAUAUUGGGAGGAACACCAGUGGCGAAGGCGGCUCACUGGACCGGAACUGACGCUGAGGCGCGAAGGUCAGGGGAGCAAACGGG